Molecule: ribosomal RNA, 545 nt
Filed under: uncultured bacterium
Lineage: Bacteria
Description: bacterial SSU rRNA
Rfam family: Bacterial small subunit ribosomal RNA
Source: RNAcentral
AGAGUUUGAUCAUGGCUCAGAGUGAACGCUAGGGGCGUACCUAACACAUGCAAGUCGUGCGAGAAACCUACCCUUCGGGGUAGGGAGUAAAGCGGCGGACGGGUGAGUAAUGCGUAGGUAACCUGCCUCCGAGAGGGGAAUAACCUACCGAAAGGUGGGCUAAUGCCCCAUAAGCUCACGGCCACUACGGUGGUUGUGAGAAAAGAUGGCCUCUGCAUGCAAGCUGUCGCUCGGAGAGGGGCUUACGUCCUAUCAGCUAGUUGGUGAGGUAAUGGCUCACCAAGGCUACGACGGGUAGCCGGCCUGAGAGGGUGGUCGGCCACACUGGCACUGAGACACGGGCCAGACUCCUACGGGAGGCAGCAGUGGGGAAUAUUGGGCAAUGGGCGCAAGCCUGACCCAGUAACGCCCCGUGGGUGAUGAAGGCCUUCGGGUCGUAAAGCCCUGUCAGGUGGGAAGAAUAUCUGAUGGGUAAAUAGCCCAUUGGAUUGACGGUACCACCAGAGGAAGCACCGGCUAACUCCGUGCCAGCMGCCGCGGUAAUA